Molecule: ribosomal RNA, 547 nt
Filed under: uncultured bacterium
Lineage: Bacteria
Description: bacterial SSU rRNA
Rfam family: Bacterial small subunit ribosomal RNA
Source: RNAcentral
UGGGGAAUAUUGCACAAUGGGCGCAAGCCUGAUGCAGCGACGCCGCGUGAGGGAUGAAGGCCUUCGGGUUGUAAACCUCUUUCGUCAGGGAACAAGGCACUGUCUUUUUGGUGGUGUUGAGGGUACCUGGAUAAGAAGCGCCGGCUAACUACGUGCCAGCAGCCGCGGUAAUACGUAGGGCGCAAGCGUUGUCCGGAAUUAUUGGGCGUAAAGAGCUCGUAGGCGGCUGGUCGCGUCUGUCGUGAAAACUUCCGGCUCAACCGGGGGCUUGCGGUGGGUACGGGCCGGCUAGAGUGCGGUAGGGGUAACUGGAACUCCUGGUGUAGCGGUGGAAUGCGCGGAUAUCAGGAAGAACACCGAUGGCGAAGGCAGGUUACUGGGCCGUUACUGACGCUGAGGAGCGAAAGCGUGGGGAGCGAACAGGAUUAGAUACCCUGGUAGUCCACGCCGUAAACGUUGGGCACUAGGUGUGAGGCUCCUUUCCGGGGGUUUUGCGCCGUAGCUAACGCAUUAAGUGCCCCGCCUGGGGAGUACGGCCGCAAGGCUA